AUGGCUUUACUCCUCACCACUGCGGCACUUUCUGGGACCAAAUUUGGGUUUAGUACCCAAAUUUGGUCGUGACUGUGGUUGCUCUUAGAUGUUAAAAUUAGAUCGAUAAAUUGGUAGAGCUUGAGAUGGAAUUUUAGGGAUUUUGGCGAAUUUAAGAAUGAGGUUGAGUUGGUUUGAGAGGCAGAAAAAUUAAAUGUGUUUCUGAUGGAGAUGGGUUUUAAAUCUGUCGCUGUGGUGGGGAAUCACAAAAGAGACUCGGGGGUUUGAGAGAUAAAAAUAGAAUUUAGGAUCAGAUUGGCUAGUGCGCAACAUUUUGCACCAAAGUUGGAGUUGUUACUGCCAUGGGUGUUACUGCUGAGGAAGAGAUUGGUUGAUGGGGGUUUGAAGCAAGAAACUGCUGUGAAGAAAUUGAGUUUAAGAGGGUUUACUGUUGAUUAUCAGAAUUAGAAAGGGAUGCUGAUGAAGAGAAGUUAAAGUUCGCUUACAGACACCUCGCCGAAUUUUAUCAUCCUGAUGGUUGGUUAUUAAAAUCAUUGUAGAUGAGAUGUUCGAGUAAUUGCCUGAAUGGACUUUUCUUCACCAUUUCAAGCUAUAAUUGAGUUUGUGAACAAGGGUGUUGCUGCAAUCGUUUGUGUGGUUGUUUACAGGGUUCUAAGAGAUAAUUAAAUCUUGAAAGAGCACGGGAGAGAUGAUUUGAAUUGAUGGAAGUAUGGGGCUGUGUUAGAAUGCAAGGUGAGUAUGGGGAUGUGUUAUAAGGCAAGGUAAGUUGGACAACUAAUUGAAGCUUAUCUAGCAGAAAUUGCACCGAACCCAUGUCUGAAUCUGAAAAAAUUCACCAAUAUCAUUGAGAUUUUGUCUGAUUAAGCCCGUGUUAUCGAUGAUGGACUUCACAGAGCUAUUGAAAUAAGUUUAAAGGUCCUUCUCUAAGCCUCUGCAUUACUUACAAACUUGAUUUUGUGGGUAUAAUUAAUCUCUUAAAUAGAUACCCUAGUUUUAUAGUGAGACUUAAAAGAAAAAUAUACACUUAUGAACUGACACACCAAUAGUUUGCUAAUGCUUUGGUCUUUUCUCUUCAUUUUCUUACUCCAGCUUAGCCGUUUGUGUCUCUUAUCUAAGAAAUAAUGAUAAUAUUGGUUUAUGAUUAUGUAAAUUGCAAUAUCAGAUUCUCAAGCACAUCUUGCGCUAACUGAAAAUGAAUCUAAGAAACUGUGCAAGUACAUAGACUGCCAAAAGCUCUCUCAAGAAAUCAGCAACCAUGUGGCACAUAACGAUCGUCUACCAGUUCAGGUGGCAGUACGCAUUCUCUCUACUUUGAGCAGCUCCGCUUAAAAAAAGCCUACUUUAAGCACGACUUUGGAUCUUUUGCAGAAUCAUUUUAAUGGAACAUUUCCGAUGUUGCUGCUGUACAAUGUUAAUAGCAGGUUGUUACAGUUUAUGUUGGAGAGGAAAUGGAAUAUAGGUUUCGGGUUGCUAUCUUAGAAGCUUCUGACCAAGAUGCAAGGUGUCAAUACAAGGCAACUUUUCAUUAGCAGUUCAUGUGCAACAGGUGUUUGACAGAAGUCUUGAGUGAACUCAACGACUGAACGAGCUAAUAUGUCUUUUUAAGUCAUGUUAACUGCCCACGUGGAGGUUAACUUUCCAUCCAUCGGUUUUGGUCAAAUAAAGCCUAGUGUUGUCAGAAAUAAAAAAAAACAGGCUUAAAUUUGUAAACCAUAAAAAAAACAGGCCUAGAUUUGUAAAAAGCCCAAAAAAUAAAGAUCUUUUGUUAGGAAUUUGCAAAUAUUAACAUGAUAAAUUUUUAUAGCAUUGCAUGGGUAGACGGAUUUAACUUUGAAACAAUGCACUCUAGUAUUAAGAUGAUAAAUGUCCUUGUUAAAACAAACUUUUCGGAAAAAGAAUAGUUAUUGACAGGCUUUU
Molecule: long non-coding RNA, 1917 nt
Organism: Papaver somniferum (opium poppy)
Lineage: Eukaryota; Viridiplantae; Streptophyta; Magnoliopsida; Ranunculales; Papaveraceae
Exons: 3
Source: RefSeq, a predicted model, not a curated record